ACAGAGUGGGUACAAGCUUAGCCUGGCAGGGGGAGCACCUGAGAGAACCCCUCGCCACAGGAUGCACCCAGCCCUGCAAGGAGGGAGAGGACCGGGAGAGGAAGGAAAAACAAGCUUGUAGGCUUGCAGGUUCCCAGGAUGCAGAGUUCUCCGCAGAGGUGGCUGACUGCCCAUCAUCAAUGGGAAGGGGUGGCAACUGACUGAGCUGAGGCUCCCCGUGUCGCAGGCCUCCUGUCAUCCCACCCAGUUUGUUUAGUGCAGCCUCUCCUGUAGACACUGCCGUCUGUCUUUCCACUCCAGUCCCCCUCUCAACACUUUCAAAAGUCCUAAUCUCCAGUAAAGAUCCAGGAAAUGGGGCGGUGGUGGCGCGCGCCUUUAAUCCCAGCACUCAGGAGGCGGAGGCGGAGGCAGGAGGAUCUCUCUGAGUUUGAGGCCAGCCUGGUCUACAGAGCGAGAUCCAGGACAGCUAGGACAGUUACACAGAGAAACCCCGACUGGAAAAACCAAACAAACAAAAGAUGUUUCUGCAGCUCCUCCCAAACUGUCAAGCGCUCUUUCUCCCGCUAACCAGGACCACU
This is a long non-coding RNA of Peromyscus californicus insignis, 578 nucleotides long. RefSeq lists it as uncharacterized. NCBI's taxonomy places the organism in Eukaryota, Metazoa, Chordata, Mammalia, Rodentia, Cricetidae. The record is from RefSeq and is a predicted model, not a curated record. The transcript has 3 exons.